This is a long non-coding RNA of Scophthalmus maximus (turbot), 5935 nucleotides long. RefSeq lists it as uncharacterized. The record is from RefSeq and is a predicted model, not a curated record. NCBI's taxonomy places the organism in Eukaryota, Metazoa, Chordata, Actinopteri, Pleuronectiformes, Scophthalmidae. The transcript has 4 exons.
CGCAGCAGGUGCCCGCUCCUGAGGAGUGCAGUGGUCGUUUACUACAGAUACACGUGGUAGUUCGGCUGCUUAAUGAGUUUCAUGUGUGGUUGUUACAAGUGGAAAAUUCCCAAAACCAACCGGAGACACGUCAAACAAUUGGACGCAACUUCAGUUAAAAGAGUCAAAACGCGACAAAUGAUUGUAGCCAAACUCGUUGUUGGAUGUUAGCAUGCCGCCGCGACGCUAUCAGCAGCGAUGGACAGUACUGGAAUAGCAAAACAAAACACUCACAAUUAAUGGACCAUCAACAUGCAACUGAAGACACACGGAGUCAAAAGGGUCGUGGAAACUUUGGCCCAGACACUGGUUUAAGCAGUACAGGGGACUUCACAAAAAGGAAAAGACAUUCAUCACCAUCGGGCCUCCAACAAACCAGGGUGACAGAGCGAGGAAGCCAGUUUGGCUGAGGAAGGAGACGAUCAGACUGCACAACAGCUCAAAGCACCUUAUUUGAACUUGAGUAUACUUUUAUGUUUCAUGCGCAUGUAUAACUGUGUGUUCAUCUGGACAUUUAGUUGUAGGAGUGUAACCAUCAAUUCGAAUGACACAAAUCUCCCAUAGCCUUGCAUAACAAGUUUGGCUCAUUUUUUAAAUUCAUUUCAUUUAUCAAAUGUAGAGUUUGAGCUAUCGUACUUCAAAACAAGUAUUAUUACCGUAUUAGUUUUAAAACUAUCUACUACCUUUUUCAAAUCCAGGGCUCCAAUAGCUGCUAAUAACUUACUGUAGACUCUCUUGAGGAGUUUUCCAUCUUAAGACACUGAACCUUUUUUACCCAAAUCCAAUCACUUUUGUGAAUUGUGCAGUUAAUGCAACAUGGACCAAUUGAUUAUUUUUAUUUUAUUUUUUCCCCAAGAAAUCUGAUCCCAUUAACCUGAUUUGUUUUGGGGGAUAUGAAUGUGCCCAACAUUGAGCUGUAUGAGUCAAAUUUCCCUUCCCAAAAUAUGAUGUCGAGGCAAAUGUUUAAAAACUGGAACAAUGGAUUUUUUAUUUUUUUUAAGUUUUUCCAGGCCUCUGGUAAUUAUUUUUACUCUCUGUUUUUCCACUUAUCUUCACAAAGAACUUUAGUGCUCUGCAUGACCCGGGUUAUCACUUGGAUCUUGUGAUGCCUUGAGUUUUGUCUCUGCCGAGUGAUAGGAAAUCAUAGAGGCAUUUAUGAAACCCCACACGCUGCAGACGUCUAAUGAACACCACCGCAUCCAACAUGGCUUCCCAAGACAGAGGCCCUGUUCAUACUGUACUUUGUAUCAAUGUGUAUCUGGGGUGAGAAGAUGACAAGUGGAAAGCUCAAGUACAGGUAUGACUGAGGUAUGUCUGAGGCCGACGACAGUUUUCAUUAUGCGUUUAAUAUGUAAAUAAUUGGUUUUUUUCUGCCCAGCUUAACUCUUUCUUCCUUUGCUUUGUUUUGAAUGUUUUGAUGUCUAUGAUUUAACUUCUUCUUGAUUCAACCAUAUGCUCAGAUUUCCACCCUCUUCUAUCUGCUUCCAUUCACACCUACUGUGUGCUCAUGGUUUGCAUGUUGUGCUUCACAGCAACCGCUCAACAACACAUCGCUCAACAGUUGUCAGCUCAUGGCCAUGUAUCGAAGUUGUAGUUGUAUUUACAUGCAAGGUUUACACAUUGGACAUUUAUGAAAAUGAACAAAGUAUUUGCGGAAAAAGCUACUAAGGCAUAAAUAAGCUUUGAAAGACAUAAAGGGAGAAUGCUGUUUGAAAAUUUAAGAAAAAUACUGUACACAACAGGAUGUGGGCAAAGAUGAUGUGACACAUUACAGCAUAUAUACAGGGAGUGUAAAAAAAAAAAGUGCAGCCAGCCAUCCACACCACCACAGCCAUAGGUCAUACAUAUGUACGAAAGUUAUUAGGCAUGUAGGCAUGUGUGUAGAUACCUGUUUGCCUCCCAGAUAUAUAUUCUUUUGAUUUGCUGCCCUAGAGCAUGUCAGCUCACAUUUUCCCAUCCCUGGCUUCCCCUCUCGCUUGCCUUGCCUGAGUCUGCUCAACAAUAAUUCCUCCAACACUCAUUUAUUAUGGCAUACAGAGCAAAUCCGAAGCAAAGAUUUCUCUGUCGGAACAGGCAAAUUUUUAUCUGUUUGUUCUUACUCUUCGGCACUUGAUUUUGCCGAAGUCCUUGUACCUGACGGGGCGUGUACAUGCUAAACUGUCGAUGCUGGAUCAACAUUUAGUGGUAAAGCUUAUGCUAGAAAAACAAAUAUUCAUCGUAUGCAGUUUAUCCUUUUCCCCCAAUUGUCUCUUUGCUUUUGCUUGGGCAAAUGAACAACCAAAAAUCAAAUCUUAACUCUUCUAAUCUAUUCUCCUCUAAUAUAGUUAAUCUGCUCCGUGUAGGGUUUCUGUCCAUUUGAUGUAUUUUGUUAUGAGGUGAUGCACUUUUGCUUGUAACUGUACAUGCAUUGAGUUCAGGAGUGUUUGGGACUUGACUGUGUGCCAGUCUUGAAAAGGAAACAGAUAGCGCUCUUGUGAACACGGAUGAUGCACAAAGACUGAGCUGGCCGUUCACAUAUAAAAUAAGACAGCUACUUGGAGAACGGCUGAGAGAAUUACAUAUAGAGGAACUUACACUGUAACUGCUGAUGUUGUCUUUUGUCGUACUUAAGACGCAUGUUUUGUGAAAGAGGGCCGUGUGUUGUUAACACAUUUGGGAUGACGAAUUCAUUAAAGAAUAUUGUUUCAAACGUGUGUGUUAUAUUUAAAUCCUAUUAUUAUUUUGUUACUAAAGCAGGUACUUGUAAGACCACUGACGUCAGAUGAAGCUGCUGAGUGUUGCUCCUCUGAAACACCUUGCUUUCCUUCCAAUAUUAGAGGGCACAACUAAGGACAAAUCAUUGUCUCACUGGAUUUAGCCGCCUUAUUGUUCUCUCCCCCCUCACAAUCUCCUCCCAACAUAUUUCAGGACAAAACUGGUAACUUCCACAGUAUUCAACAAAUCAUGGCAAUGCAUUUGUUUUUGUUGCUCUGUACUGCAUCACUGUACGCAAUGAGGAGUCUGCAGUAUAUUUGUUUGUUGAUUGUGAUCAACAUUUCAGUUAUAUCAUUGAGAUAUUGUGUCCCCAUAAAUAACUAAAAGGAAACCAGUAUCAAUACACAAGCUUGUGCUGUAAUGAACACAGUGCAAUCUGUUUGGAUGUCCUUAUUGUCUGUAUUGCAAAGACAAGUCCUACACACUAUCAUAAUUGUGCUAUUGAUUAUACAUAACUCACUUUGUCUGAUUAUGAUUGCAAUUUAAUACUGACUUCCCGUGUGCGAUGAAUUCACUCUCCCGUUGUCAGUCUUGUUGACUUGUAUGAUCUAUGAUUCAUCGAUACCAUUGAUCCUCCCAAAGUUCAUCCAUCCAUAUGUGACUGGCACAUCAGUAUUUUACAUAAAAAAGAUUGAGGGGAGGCAAUCUGCGCGUCAGCAAAAUGUCACCAUAAUUGAGCUCGGCUGAUGUUAUUGUCCCUUAACGAAGUUCUGACUGUUUUAUAAACAGGGCUGGGACAAGAGGCAUCAGUCACAGGGGAGACGGCUAACAUCACCAAGGACAAGGGCGCCGCGCAUUAAACAGGGGCGGCAGAUGUGCUGCACUUUACCUCCGAUGGAAUUUGAAUACACUCUGCAGCUCCUACCUAUCUGUCUACUGUAUCCAUCUACCGUAUGUGUUGGCUCACAACAGUGAUGGCAGGAGAGGUGUUUACAGUUUACAGAAUAAAAGGAGAACGUGUAGUUCUACAACAGCAUACAAAAAGGACGAGACACUGAGGCUAAUUGGAAAAGGCCUGCCACUGAUUACAGACAACGUGUGUGUGUGUGUGUGUGUGUGUGUGUGUGUGUGUGUGUGUGUGUGUGUGUGUGUGUGUGUGUGUGUGUGUGUGUGUGUGUGUGUGUGUGUGUGUGUGUGUGUGUGUGUGUGUGUGUGUGUGUGUGUGUGUGUGUGUGGUAAUUGCUCUGCUGGUGGACGCCGCUGUGGCAGUGGGCUGCCCUCGGAGGUCUCUGGAUAUCCAGUGUAAAUCCAGCCCAGCGGAGCUGUGAAAAAAAGCUAAUAAUAUGUUAUUGCAGUCGAGGUCCCCCUGUCGCCUCUCCAUCAGAGCACCACUGUCACCUUACACAUGGACCACGGUGUGAUAAUGGACAAUAAUGCGGAGUAGCUGAGAGUGAGAAGUCCAAUCUGCCUCCCGAGUGGUGAGAGGGCUUCGAGGAAAGCACACCCCAUACGAUGUGUGAGGGCUCCUGACUACGAGGCCGCGUGUCAUCCCGUCCUCCUGAACCCCUGGACAUCAUCGAUUAUUAUCUUGUUUCAUAAAACAUGAAGGUUUAGACUUGAAGAGAGAGGGCACGUGCGUUUUCUCAGUGUGGAACUCACUAAUUGCAGCGGAGAAGUAAAGCGAAUUUGUGAAAACUACCCAAAAGUUUUGUUUGUGUUAUUAGCUGUUUUUUUUAAGCAUCCAAAUACUUAAACUAGCUCCUCUGAAGACCGUUGCCUAAUUGUUUCAUCAUGAUGUUUUUAUUCAUAUUUAAUGUAAAAGGCAUUUUCGGCUGCAAAAAAACCACGGUCAUUAGUGGGAGCUUCACAAGGAAAAUAAAUACCCGGAUUUGUUGUGAGAGUGUUUAAAACUCUCAAAGAGAAUCUAAAAUCAUGUUAUCAGUAGUGACUUCAGGCGUGUUUGCAGUAAGCGAGGCACUACGGCGCCCGACAACGGGCAAUUGUUGUGCUUUCUUUGUUCAGAACAAAGUUUUAAAAAACAACCUUCAGAACAUAAGUAACCGCUCUGCUUUCAGAACUAAACACAUUAAAUAUGCUUCCUUUGAUCAACCUAAUGUUUUUGGGGUUUUGCUUACACUGAAAUCAUUCCCCGCGGAGAAAUGUAAAAACAUUACAGAACAGCAGCAGCAUCAUCAUAACAGGACUUGGAAAAACAGAGGGAUACAACUUCCAGCCGCACUGAGGCCUCUAGUGGCAGCUGGUGGCAACAUCCUCCUCGCUAACACUUCUCUUAACAGACUCAACGUCUACAUGACUCCGUUCGGGAAGGGUUUAUGCAUGAUUGUUGGAUUCGAUCGUCUUUUAUAGCUCAUUCAUAUAGUACAUGUAGGCACGGCAUCUCUGUGGGUGGAAAAUGCAAUUAAGUUUUUCUCACAGCGCGACAUGAAUUCUCCAAAUCUUUAAUAGAAGCUUAGUGAGCAUGAGAAAAGCGUUUUCCACUUGUCACACAUGCAUCCCAGCGCUUUCUGAAUCCAUCAGGUGAGAUUAAAUAUAUCACACCACAUUCCACCUUGCCUUUUCUAAUUGUACUGAUUGUGAUGUUGAGAGGGCACACAGGAGGGUGGGGCAUUUUAUUUUCAGUCUGACGAUUGAAUUCCUGCCUCUCUCCUGCACCGACUUGUAUUUUUGGUGCGUGACCAGGAGCUUUGUGGUUUUCCAAACCUCAUGGGACCAAUUCCCAUUAUUUACUUGACUGUGACCCCGUAUCGUGACCUCUCGGGUCUCUCAUUUUCCAGGAGUCUACUUUUAAAUUGCCCAACUAAUGGCAACCUGCAUUUUUACUGAACUGUAAUGAAUGCUCCAAUUACACUGAGGGUGAUGGAGGCGAUUUUCCUAUGAUAGAAGGGGCGAUUUGAUCUGCCACACUCCAUUUCACUAUCUCUCUGCUCCUCAGGCAUUCCCGCAGACCUGUGGUCAGCACUAGCUGCUGGGAGGAAACUACAGUAAAGCCUCCACUUGUGGUAAUGCACCCUGUGAGUGCACUGCCAGGCCGUACACCAAUGAGGUGACUACAGAAUUAAGUGCUUGAAACAAAUGAAUUCAUUCUGGCAGAAAUGUGUCAAAUGACCUUUCCGCUGCUCAUUACACAUGGUGCACAUUACACCAGAGAAAUGCUCCUGUUGUGUGGGCUCCUUUGUUUCCC